GCAUAUCAAUAAGCGGAGGAAAAGAAACCAACAGGGAUUGCCUCAGUAACGGCGAGUGAAGCGGCAACAGCUCAAAUUUGAAAUCUGGCUCUCGGGCCCGAGUUGUAAUUUGCAGAGGAUGUUUCUGGCGAGGUGCCUUCCGAGUUCCCUGGAACGGGACGCCAUAGAGGGUGAGAGCCCCGUCCGGUUGGUCGCUAAGCCUCUGUGAAACUCCUUCGACGAGUCGAGUAGUUUGGGAAUGCUGCUCUAAAUGGGAGGUAUACGUCUUCUAAAGCUAAAUACCGGCCAGAGACCGAUAGCGCACAAGUAGAGUGAUCGAAAGAUGAAAAGCACUUUGAAAAGAGGGUUAAAUAGUACGUGAAAUUGUUGAAAGGGAAGCGUUUAUGACCAGACUUGGGCCGGUUGAUCAUCCAUCGUUCUCGGUGGUGCACUCUGCCGGCUCAGGCCAGCAUCAGUUUGGCUUGGGGGAUAAAGGUUUCGGGAAUGUGGCUCCCUCGGGAGUGUUAUAGCCCGUUGCGUAAUACCCUGGGCUAGACUGAGGUUCGCGCUCCGCAAGGAUGCUGGCGUAAUGGUCAUCAGCGACCCGUCUUGAAACACGGACC
Molecule: ribosomal RNA, 602 nt
Filed under: Lasionectria cerealis
Lineage: Eukaryota; Fungi; Ascomycota; Sordariomycetes; Hypocreales; Nectriaceae
Description: eukaryotic LSU rRNA
Rfam family: Eukaryotic large subunit ribosomal RNA
Source: RNAcentral